Molecule: ribosomal RNA, 492 nt
Filed under: uncultured bacterium
Lineage: Bacteria
Description: partial 16S ribosomal RNA
Rfam family: Bacterial small subunit ribosomal RNA
Source: RNAcentral
AGUGAACGCUGGCGGUAGGCCUAACACAUGCAAGUCGAACGGCAGCACAGUAAGAGCUUGCUCUUACGGGUGGCGAGUGGCGGACGGGUGAGGAAUACAUCGGAAUCUACUUUUUCGUGGGGGAUAACGUAGGGAAACUUACGCUAAUACCGCAUACGACCUACGGGUGAAAGCAGGGGAUCUUCGGACCUUGCGCGAUUGAAUGAGCCGAUGUCGGAUUAGCUAGUUGGCGGGGUAAAGGCCCACCAAGGCGACGAUCCGUAGCUGGUCUGAGAGGAUGAUCGGCCACACUGGAACUGAGACAGGGUCCAGACUACUACGGGAGGGAGCAGUGGGGAAUAUUGGACAAUGGGCGCAAGCCUGAUCCAGCCAUACCGCGUGGGUGAAGAAGGCCUUCGGGUUGUAAAGACCUUUUGUUGGGAAAGAAAAGCAGCAGGUUAAUACCACGCUGUUCUGACGGUACCCAAAGAAUAAGCACCGGCUAACUUCGUG